AGUGGGAUAGCUGGGCCUAAUGGUAGUUUUAUUCCAAAUUUUCUGAGGAAUCUCCAUACUGCUUUCCAGAGUGGUUGCACCAAUUUGCAGUCCCACGAGCAAU
This 103-nucleotide microRNA precursor is filed under the name Marmota monax (woodchuck). Lineage: Eukaryota; Metazoa; Chordata; Mammalia; Rodentia; Sciuridae. The record is from RNAcentral.